Molecule: long non-coding RNA, 1508 nt
Filed under: Sorghum bicolor (sorghum)
Lineage: Eukaryota; Viridiplantae; Streptophyta; Magnoliopsida; Poales; Poaceae
Description: long non-coding RNA (SBIC_LNC010426)
Source: RNAcentral
CUCAUGGAAUUCUGUCAGAUCAAACCCUAAUUCUAGGUGUUGGUUGCAUAUUGGUCCUUUCUCUUGUUUAUUUGAUAAUUAAAAUUGAUACUUAAGAACCGUCAACAAAUACCCCCAUACUUAGGCUUUUACUCGUCCUCGAGAAAAGGAUGGUUAAGAACAAUAUCUGAGGUAAAACAUUUUAAAGCAUUCUUUAUAUUUGCAGGGUGUUAAAAAUCCACUGUGUAUUAUAGUCAGGGAUGUUUAUGGUUAAGAGUAAAGAUCCUUUCUUCUCAAUCCUGUCACUUGGAGUUUUUGUAUAAUUUUUGAAAGAAAGUUAUCAUACCUUUUAUCCUCAUAGGUUCUCUCAGAUCACUCAUUAUCUUUUAUAUAUCUCACUGAGGUUGUUUUAUUUUGCAAAAAAUCUCAAGCAUACUUACUUUGCAUUUAUUGCCUGAUCAAAAUGGGAUCCGAGGAGGGGAAUGUCAUACUCUUAGAUCAAAGACUUUGAAAAUUAAAAUCUUUGUCAACUCUUGCUGGCAUAUUGCUUAUUAGAGGGACCAUGGGCUAUCAUUUUUUUCUCUUUUUCUCUCUUUUUUUUAAGUGGAUACCGAGGUACCCCUAAUUCUACUGCCGGACACUUGUCCAUUUUUCUGCGAGGUUGUCGAGCACUUGCUCCUUUUUAUUUCCUCGAAAUAUCUCUAUUUUUGCAUAGCCCAUGCCUCUAAUGCAAUAAUACUUCAGAAGAGUGAAUCUUUCUGAAUAAAUGUCUUGAUCUUAGGAGCAUGAUAAAUCUCUCAACAAGGGUCUAACUCAUUUUGAACAAACUCAAUACAGAGGAGAUAGCUUUUAUAAUCAUAAUUAAUAUUUUCAGUUUUAUCAGGCAUAUAAAACACUGAGGAUGGUAGCUAGAAUUUUGAAUAUUUUGAAAUAAAUUCUCCAAGUAGCAAUGAUAUCAAAAAUAAGAAACUCAUACUCUAACAUCACAUAUUCCAUAUUGACUUAAGUAACACAGGUUUUAAAAUGAUUUUAUAAUAGUUGCAAGUUUUCAGGAAAUAUCACAGAUUGAGAUUAAUCAUGAUUAGAAAUAUUUUAAUCUUUUUAUUUUAUCAUGUCAGAAAUAGUAAUCUGCAUAAUCAAGAUAUUUGUAUGUGUAAAGUAAAGGGUGCAGAGUGUGUACCUGAAUCGUGGAGUGGUGUAGUCGGAGUGUGUUUAGCAUGUCGAGGGAUCUCCCCAUACUUGUUUUCUGCUUUCUUGCACACAAAAAUAAAGUAGAGACACACAAGACAUAAUAAUAAUACUCUUUAUUAAUCUUGAGGCAUUUAUUACAAAAUACUAGUAGCAAACUGAUAGCAAACUGCUAAUAAUAAACCGAUGAUAAUAGUAAACCUAAACCGAAUUUAAAGAUAGAUAACUAAGAUGCAUUGCCUCAAGGUCUAAUCUAGAUAACUUAGCGGCGCUCUAAUUCCCUAAUCUUCUUGUUGGCACUGGCAAGAUCCUGCUUAAGUCCUAGUAUAAUGGUGUUGUGG